AUGUUUUUUUAUUUGUGUUUUGGAAAACAUUUGGAAGACAGAACAUGAAAGAGUCAUGUCUCUUUUGUCACAGUACAUUUUCUUCUAAAGAAUGUCAUCCUCUCCUGCAUCGUGUUUCCAAUCUGAUGUAAAAAAGUAACUCAGCAUUUCUUAAUCAUCACCCUUGCCUCUGCUGUUAUGGAAAGAGUCCCUGAAAAAUUCAAUAGGAGACAUCUUUAUAGAGAUACAGCUGCUCAUCUCAUAAUCUCCCUAGUAAGCUGGAUUUACACUCCACAAAAGAUUCAGCCUUUGACUAGGGAUUCCUUUCUCCAAAACUAUAUGGGAAUGAAAAACUUCUUAACUAGGAAUUAAAUUGAAGUACCAAGUGAUGUGUUGCAGAUUUGGAGCACAUGCAGAUGAAAAAUAGCCUAUAUGGCUUUUGGAUCUAAUGCAUAACUCCUAAGCUGCAGAAGACUAUCGUGAAAAGGUUGGUACACUGAAAGAUUAAUUAUAAUCUGACUUUACAGGACAGAUACCUUUUCUUAGUUCAAAUCUCACAUGAUUCGAUUCACCCUUUUCUAUGUAUCUAAUUAAAAUAAU
Molecule: long non-coding RNA, 579 nt
Filed under: Struthio camelus australis
Lineage: Eukaryota; Metazoa; Chordata; Aves; Struthioniformes; Struthionidae
Description: lncRNA (ENSSCUG00000014508.1)
Source: RNAcentral